Molecule: ribosomal RNA, 497 nt
Filed under: uncultured bacterium
Lineage: Bacteria
Description: partial 16S ribosomal RNA
Rfam family: Bacterial small subunit ribosomal RNA
Source: RNAcentral
GAUGAACGCUGGCGGCGUGCCUAAUACAUGCCAGUCGAGCGAACGGACGAGAAGCUUGCUUCUCUGAUGUUAGCGGCGGACGGGUGAGUAACACGUGGAUAACCUACCUAUAAGACUGGGAUAACUUCGGGAAACCGGAGCUAAUACCGGAUAAUAUUUUGAACCGCAUGGUUCAAAAGUGAAAGACGGUCUUGCUGUCACUUAUAGAUGGAUCCGCGCUGCAUUAGCUAGUUGGUAAGGUAACGGCUUACCAAGGCAACGAUGCAUAGCCGACCUGAUAGGGUGAUAGGCCACACUGGAACUGAGACACGGUCCAGACUCCUACGGGAGGCAGCAGUAGGGAAUCUUCCGCAAUGGGCGAAAGCCUGACGGAGCAACGCCGCGUGAGUGAUGAAGGUCUUCGGAUCGUAAAACUCUGUUAUUAGGGAAGAACAUAUGUGUAAGUAACUGUGCACAUCUUGACGGUACCUAAUCAGAAAGCCACGGCUAACUACGUG